This 573-nucleotide ribosomal RNA is filed under the name uncultured bacterium. RNAcentral describes it as "partial 16S ribosomal RNA". It matches the Rfam family "Bacterial small subunit ribosomal RNA", at positions 355 to 920 of the family's 1533-position model. The record is from RNAcentral.
UGGGGAAUUUUGGACAAUGGGGGAAACCCUGAUCCAGCCAUCCCGCGUGUGCGAUGAAGGCCUUCGGGUUGUAAAGCACUUUUGGCAGGAAAGAAACGUCGCGGGUUAAUACCCCGCGGAACUGACGGUACCUGCAGAAUAAGCACCGGCUAACUACGUGCCAGCAGCCGCGGUAAUACGUAGGGUGCAAGCGUUAAUCGGAAUUACUGGGCGUAAAGCGUGCGCAGGCGGUUCGGAAAGAAAGAUGUGAAAUCCCAGAGCUUAACUUUGGAACUGCAUUUUUAACUACCGGGCUAGAGUGUGUCAGAGGGAGGUGGAAUUCCGCGUGUAGCAGUGAAAUGCGUAGAUAUGCGGAGGAACACCGAUGGCGAAGGCAGCCUCCUGGGAUAACACUGACGCUCAUGCACGAAAGCGUGGGGGAGCAAACAGGAUUAGAUACCCUGGUAGUCCACGCCCUAAACGAUGUCAACUAGCUGUUGGGGUCUUCGGACCUUGGUAGCGCAGCUAACGCGUGAAGUUGACCGCCUGGGGAGUACGGUCGCAAGAUUAAAACUCAAAUGAAUUGACGGGGUC